GACAAACGGAUCGAGUUAAAAGAAAUGAUAGUGUAAAAGGGGGUUAAGAAUUUUUGAGACGAAAAAUGAUGCUUUUUAUGGGGGUAGAAUUUGUGUAAAAAGAGAUAAUUUUAUUUUUUCUUAGUUUGAGGCCCCGAAAUUUUGUUAUGAGACCGGGAUUAGAUACCCCGUUAUUCAAAAUGUAAACGUUGAUUGUGAAUUAAUUUACUUGAGUAUUAUGAGUGCUAGAGGAAAAACAUCUUUAUACAUUGCUUAAAACUCAAAAAACUUGGCGGUGCCUUAUAUCCUUCCAGGGGAACCUGUCCUAUAAUCGAUAGUCCACGUUUUAGCUUUCUUUUUUUUGAAUACAUCAGCUUGUAUACCGUCGUCGUCGGGUUACUUUUAAGAGUCGUGAAGUUAUCAGCAGGAAUAAAAUAUGAAUAUUAAUUAUAUAAUUGGUAUUUAUAUAGUUGUUCUAGACGUCAGAUCAAGGUGCAGCCUAUGGAAAAGAAGAGAUGGGUUACAGUAAUUAAGUUAUUAUUACGGAUCUUUGUUGUAAUAAGCAUAGUUGAAGGAGGACUUGGAAGUAAUUUUGAGAUAAGAGAGCUUAAAUGAAAAAAGGCUCUGAGGUGCGC
This 614-nucleotide ribosomal RNA is filed under the name Ilanga sp. 1 LS-2013. Its description in RNAcentral is "partial 12S ribosomal RNA". Lineage: Eukaryota; Metazoa; Mollusca; Gastropoda; Trochida; Solariellidae. The record is from RNAcentral.